Aedes aegypti (yellow fever mosquito) is the source of this 116-nucleotide non-coding RNA. NCBI's taxonomy places the organism in Eukaryota, Metazoa, Arthropoda, Insecta, Diptera, Culicidae. The record is from Rfam.
UACCCAGCAACUCCUAUCCCUACCUCCUCGGGGUACUGGCCGGAGUACGAGUAACCUUGGGGAAGAUCGGGUAACCAACCCCGGUGGGAGCUUUGGUCGUAUGCUGACAGGGAAGU